CGGUAAUUCCAGCUCCAAUAGCGUAUACUAAAGUUGUUGCAGUUAAAAAGCUCGUAGUUGGAUUUCUGCGGGGACGGAGCGGCCGGACGCAACUUGCGUCUCGAGCUAGCGCUUUCCCCACAUCCUGCCGCGAACCGUGCUACCAUUAGCUUGGUGGCGCUGGGGAUCGGCUCGAUUACUUUGAGAAAAAUAGAGUGUUCAAAGCAGGCCACACGCCUUGAAUAAGUUAGCAUGGAAUAAUGAUUAAGGACUUCGGUUCUAUUUUGUUGGUGUUCGGGACUGAAGUAAUGAUUGAUAGGGACAGUUGGGGCGGUCUGUAUUCCAAAGCGAGAGGUGAAAUUCUUAGACCUUCGGAAGACAAACAGCUGCGAAAGCGUUCCGCAAGGAUGUUCCCUUUGAUCAAGAACGAAAGUUGGGGGAUCGAAGACGAUCAGAUACCGUCGUAGUCUCAACUAUAAACUAUACCAGCUAGGGAUCGGCCAACGUUUAACUUUAUCGACUUGGUCGGCACCUUAUGAGAAAUCAAAGCAUCUGGGUUCCGGGGGGAGUAUGGUCGCAAGGCUGAAACUUAAAGGAAUUGACGGAAGGGCACCACCAGGCGUGGAGCCUGUGGCUUAAUUUGACUCAACACGGGAAAACUUACCAGGUCCAGACAUAGGAAGGAUUGACAGAUUGAUAGCUCUUUCUUGAUUCUGUGGGUGGUGGUGCAUGGCCGUUUUUAGUCGGUGAUUUGUCUGCUUAAUUGCGUUAACGGACGAGACCCCAGCCUGCUAAAUAGCGCGGCCGAGCUUUGCUCGGUGCGAGCUUCUUAGAGGGACCAUGAUGCGCGAUAGCACAAGGAAGUUUGGGGCAACAACAGGUCUGUGAUGCCCUUAGAUGUUCUGGGCCGCACACGGGCUACACUGGCGCCUGCAACGAGCAUAUCAGCUGGCCCGAGAGGGUCUUGGCUAAUCUUUGGAACCGGCGCCGUGCUUGGGAUUGACCAUUGCAAUUGUUGGUCAUGCAACGAGGAAUGCCUUGUAAACGCGAGUCAUCAGCUCGCAUUGAAUACGUCCCUGCCCUUUGUACACACCGCCCGUCGCUCCUACCGAUGAAUGUUCCGAUGAAAUUUUCGGAGAGCGCCAGAGAACGGGGCUCUGCCUCGCAGAUCUGGAGGCUCAAAGUCACUUAAAUCUGAACAUUUCGAGGAAGGAGAAGUCGUAACAAGGUAACC
RNAcentral lists this ribosomal RNA (1213 nucleotides) under uncultured Rhizaria. Its description in RNAcentral is "SSU rRNA". It matches the Rfam family "Eukaryotic small subunit ribosomal RNA", at positions 577 to 1804 of the family's 1831-position model. The record is from RNAcentral.